This 995-nucleotide long non-coding RNA is filed under the name Homo sapiens (human). RNAcentral's name for it is "HSALNT0329318". The record is from RNAcentral. Lineage: Eukaryota; Metazoa; Chordata; Mammalia; Primates; Hominidae.
AUCAGGCAACUUCUUUCCAUGAAAGUGAGAUCUGUGCGUCUUGAAGCCGAUAGAUUAUCACAGAAAAACCAGCAACCCUGAUUUUAAAUCAUUUGCCAACAGUGUUAAUGGGCGGUUCCUAAUCCGUUUCUUAAUUUAAGGGUUUGUAAAAUCAAAAAACAGCUCAGAAAUGAUACGAUUAACAUAUGACGGUUGGCCGGACGCGGUGGCUCACGCCUGUAAUCCCAGUAAUUUGGGAGGCUAAGGCGGGUGGAUCACAAGGUCAGGAGUUCAAGACCAGCCUGGCCAACAUGGUGAAACCCUGUCUCUACUAAAAAUCCACAAAUUAGCCGGGUGUGGUGAUGGGCGCCUGUAAUCCCAGCUACUGAGGAGGCUGAGGCAGAGAAGUGCUUGAACCCGGGAGGCAGAAGUUGCAGUGAGCCAAGAUCACGCCACAAAGAAAUGUAUCAGAUUUAAGUUGGGUUGAUCUCAAAGUGAAGGAUGGAGAAAUGAAUUCUCUAUUGUCAUAAGGAAAAGGGAAGUCAUGAAGUUAGAAGGAAUUCCAUCAUCACUUGGGAGAUUUCUGCGAAUCAUCACUAAAGCCAUUCACUUUCUCAUAACUAAACAAGAAUCUUCUUCUGGAGUUAAGUAUCAGAUAUGAAUGUUCUCACUGACCUCAGGAAGCAAAAGUCCUAAAUCAUUAUAUGGCAGUGAAGGUACAAAAAAAAAAAAAAAUCAGCAGGAAAUAAAGCGGAACUGCUGCCAACACAUACAAGCUGCAGUAGCACCCACAAAAUGUGUAGUAUCUAUUCUAACACAUUCAUUGGACUGAUUACAUUGGCUCAUAGACUUGGUUAACUCUGGAAGAACAUAAUAGGUGUUUAUUGUUUACUAUGGGGAUGGGAAACAUAAUUAAGUCUAUAGUCUCCAAUUCUUCUCAAGUUCAAAUGAAACCAACACUUUUGGUUUUGUCUUAACAUUCAGGAUGUGUUUCUAAUUAAACUGAAAUCACAGUA